GUAAUCGGUAUUUGCGGGCGUUCCGAUAUUCUCCGCUUCGGCCGGUUAUCUAUGUACAAUACGAGUGACAAUAUCGAAAACCACUUCCCCUCGACAACAAACCCUGCAGCGACUUUACUCCGUUCUACCGGGUAUCUAAUGUUGCGUGUGGCCCAAUCGUUUCCGAUCGACGUAUUUUAAUCCGUAGUUAAUUAAAAAUACGAGUGUCUCGACCCG
Non-coding RNA from Cinara cedri, 216 nucleotides. The record is from the annotation of a GenBank genome assembly. NCBI's taxonomy places the organism in Eukaryota, Metazoa, Arthropoda, Insecta, Hemiptera, Aphididae.